GACGAACGCUGGCGGCGUGCUUAACACAUGCAAGUCGAACGGAAAGGCCCUGCUUUUGUGGGGUGCUCGAAUGGCGAACGGGUGAGGAACACGUGUGUAACCUGCCCUGGACUUUGGGAUAACUUCAGGAAACUGGGGCUAAUACCGGAUAGGAGCUCCUGCUGCAGGGUGGGGGUUGGAAAGUUUCGGCGGUUGGGGAUGGACUCGAGGGUUAUCAGCUGGUUGGUGGGGUAAUGGCUUACCAAGGCUUGGACGGGUAGCCGGCCUGGGAGGGGGACCGGCCACAUUGGGCCUGCGAUACGGCCCAGAAUCCUACGGGAGGCAGCAGUGGCGAAUGUUGCACAGUGGGGCGACGGCAUAUGCAGCAACGCCGCGUGCGGGAUGCCGGCCUUCGGGUUGUCAUCCGCUUUAGCCUGUGACGAGGAGUGAGUGACGGUAGUGGGUAAAGAAGCCCCGGCUAACUACGUG
This 468-nucleotide ribosomal RNA is filed under the name uncultured bacterium. RNAcentral's name for it is "partial 16S ribosomal RNA". It matches the Rfam family "Bacterial small subunit ribosomal RNA", at positions 28 to 507 of the family's 1533-position model. The record is from RNAcentral.